GACGAACGCUGGCGGCGUGCCUAAUACAUGCAAGUAGAACGCUGAAGAGAGGAGCUUGCUCUUCUUGGAUGAGUUGCGAACGGGUGAGUAACGCGUAGGUAACCUGCCUUGUAGCGGGGGAUAACUAUUGGAAACGAUAGCUAAUACCGCAUAACAAUGGAUGACACAUGUCAUUUAUUUGAAAGGGGCAAUUGCUCCGCUACAAGAUGGACCUGCGUUGUAUUAGCUAGUAGGUGAGGUAAUGGCUCACCUAGGCGACGAUACAUAGCCGGCCUGAGAGGGUGAUCGGCCACACUGGGACUGAGACACGGCCCAGACUCCUACGGGAGGCAGCAGUAGGGAAUCUUCGGCAAUGGGGGCAACCCUGACCGAGCAACGCCGCGUGAGUGAAGAAGGUUUUCGGAUCGUAAAGCUCUGUUGUAAGUCAAGAACGGGUGUGAGAGUGGAAAGUUCACACUGUGACGGUAGCUUACCAGAAAGGGACGGCUAACUACGUG
RNAcentral lists this ribosomal RNA (497 nucleotides) under uncultured bacterium. RNAcentral's name for it is "partial 16S ribosomal RNA". It matches the Rfam family "Bacterial small subunit ribosomal RNA", at positions 28 to 507 of the family's 1533-position model. The record is from RNAcentral.